This 253-nucleotide ribosomal RNA is filed under the name uncultured bacterium. RNAcentral describes it as "partial 16S ribosomal RNA". It matches the Rfam family "Bacterial small subunit ribosomal RNA", at positions 524 to 776 of the family's 1533-position model. The record is from RNAcentral.
UACGUAGGGGGCAAGCGUUGUCCGGAAUCGUUGGGCGUAAAGAGCGUGUAGGCGGCCAGGUAGGUCUGCUGUGAAAACUCGAGGCUCAACCUCGAGAUGUCGGCGGAAACCAUCUGGCUAGAGUCCGGAAGAGGAGAGUGGAAUUCCUGGUGUAGCGGUGAAAUGCGCAGAUAUCAGGAAGAACACCUAUGGCGAAGGCAGCUCUCUGGGACGGUACUGACGCUGAGACGCGAAAGCGUGGGGAGCGAACAGG